Small RNA from Xanthomonas oryzae pv. oryzae, 78 nucleotides. It matches the Rfam family "Xanthomonas sRNA sX9". Lineage: Bacteria; Pseudomonadati; Pseudomonadota; Gammaproteobacteria; Lysobacterales; Lysobacteraceae. The record is from Rfam.
AUGUACCACUCGCACACCGCGCGGUUGCUGCGCGCCGUCCAUGUUCACCUGACGACGACCCGCGACGUUUUGGCAGCC